Molecule: ribosomal RNA, 324 nt
Filed under: uncultured eukaryote
Lineage: Eukaryota
Description: partial 18S ribosomal RNA
Rfam family: Eukaryotic small subunit ribosomal RNA
Source: RNAcentral
CCCUUAGAUGUCCUGGGCUGCACGCGCGCUACACUGAUGUGUCCAGUAAGCACCUAACCUAUUCCGAGAGGAGCGGGUAACCUUAGCAAAGCACAUCGUGAUGGGGAUAGAUUAUUGCAAUUAUUAGUCUUGAACGAGGAAUUCCUAGUAAGCACAAGUCAUCAGCUUGUGUUGAUUACGUCCCUGCCCUUUGUACACACCGCCCGUCGCUCCUACCGAUUGAAUGUUCCGGUGAGCUCUUCGGACUGCGCGGUCUGCAGUUUCUGCGUUCCGUGCGGAAAGUUGUGCAAACCUUAACAUUUAGAGGAAGGAGAGGUCGUAACA